CACUACUCUGCUAGCUUCAGGGCUGGCAGGCAAGGUUGGAAGAGCAGGAUAAUCAGCUGGAGACCUUAGCAUGCUGCUUUGCAAAGCUAGGAGGGCGUCUCCCAAGCAGGGCUACCAUUUGAGCUGGAUAUGUCUGUGACUCUGGAAGGGGUGGGUUGAGCACUGUGUCGGACACAACAAAAGGAGUGAGUACUCCCAGGAUUUUGGUCCAGCUCUGGAAGGAGGCAGAAACUUGAUACACUCCCACGGAGCAAUAGCUUCUGGCAGUGUACACAGUGCUCCUCCAGAUGGAUUUUCUCAUGAAGGAACAGCAGAUCGUGCCCUGCCAGGAAGGUAUUUUUAUAAUUAUCUUCAUGAACUUCUAGGAGAAAUAGAAGCUCAGAGAACUGAAGUGAUUUGCCAAGACAGAGAAA
Molecule: long non-coding RNA, 413 nt
Filed under: Equus asinus (donkey)
Lineage: Eukaryota; Metazoa; Chordata; Mammalia; Perissodactyla; Equidae
Description: lncRNA (ENSEASG00005034872.1)
Source: RNAcentral